This is a non-coding RNA of Petromyzon marinus (sea lamprey), 366 nucleotides long. The record is from RefSeq and is a predicted model, not a curated record. Lineage: Eukaryota; Metazoa; Chordata; Hyperoartia; Petromyzontiformes; Petromyzontidae.
CGCGUGACGUCACGAGAUAACAGGAAGCUGCUGCUCCGCCCGUGCACUGAAAUCCGAGGACAAGCCCGUUUGAGCUGCUGUACCGCUUUUGUUUUCAGAAGCGACCUGCCCACAACACAAGCUGUCGCUUCCUCUGCAGAAUUUGUCUGAUGGAGCAAAGGCACUCAGCACAGCUCGGUGCAAAAAGGCAUCAAUGCAACCGGCGUGCAAACAGCACGGAUAGUACUGAACAUUUGACAUGGCACCAGAUAACUCACACAGGAGAGAAACCCUUCAAGUGCAGUGUGUGCGGGAAGGCAUUUUCACAGUCAUCUGCUCUUGUAGCACACCAGAGAACACACACGGGAGAGAAACCCUUCAAGUGCA